This 492-nucleotide ribosomal RNA is filed under the name uncultured bacterium. RNAcentral's name for it is "partial 16S ribosomal RNA". It matches the Rfam family "Bacterial small subunit ribosomal RNA", at positions 29 to 507 of the family's 1533-position model. The record is from RNAcentral.
AGUGAACGCUGGCGGUAGGCCUAACACAUGCAAGUCGAACGGCAGCACAGUAAGAGCUUGCUCUUACGGGUGGCGAGUGGCGGACGGGUGAGGAAUACAUCGGAAUCUACUUUUUCGUGGGGGAUAACGUAGGGAAACUUACGCUAAUACCGCAUACGACCUACGGGUGAAAGCAGGGGAUCUUCGGACCUUGCGCGAUUGAAUGAGCCGAUGUCGGAUUAGCUAGUUGGCGGGGUAAAGGCCCACCAAGGCGACGAUCCGUAGCUGGUCUGAGAGGAUGAUAAGCAACACUGGAACUGAGACACGGUCCAGACUCCUACGGGAGGCAGCAGUGGGGAAUAUUGGACAAUGGGCGCAAGCCUGAUCCAGCCAUACCGCGUGGGUGAAGAAGGCCUUCGGGUUGUAAAGCCCUUUUGUUGGGAAAGAAAAGCAGCAGGUUAAUACCCCGCUGUUCUGACGGUACCCAAAGAAUAAGCACCGGCUAACUUCGUG